AAAUUUUAGUGUGAGACGUCUAAAGCAAGACAAAAUAUUUGAAUUUUGAACUCUUAUCACUUGACGUAGGGUGGGCCACCAGGGUGGUGGUGAAUUUUAAAGGUGGGUCAUUCUAUUUUCUAUUGCGUAGACCCCACAAACAUGGGAUCUCUCCAACUGCACCGCCCAACAUCUCUUUUUCGACACCGUUUAGGUUAAAAGCUAAAUUUGAUAACAAUAAAAUAUGCAGAGUGGCAAAUUAAU
Molecule: long non-coding RNA, 243 nt
Filed under: Olea europaea (common olive)
Lineage: Eukaryota; Viridiplantae; Streptophyta; Magnoliopsida; Lamiales; Oleaceae
Description: long non-coding RNA (OEUR_LNC013968)
Source: RNAcentral